GGCGGCAUGCCUAACACAUGCAAGUCGAACGGAGAAUCGCUUCGGUGAUUCUUAGUGGCGAACGGGUGAGUAACGCGUAGGCAACCUGCCCUUUGGAUGGGGACAACAUUCCGAAAGGAGUGCUAAUACCGAAUGUGACGAUUUUACCGCAUGGUUUAAUCGUGAAAGAUGGCCUCUACAUGUAAGCUAUCGCCAAAGGAUGGGCCUGCGUCUGAUUAGCUAGUUGGUGGGGUAACGGCUCACCAAGGCGACGAUCAGUAGCCGGUCUGAGAGGAUGAACGGCCACAUUGGGACUGAGAUACGGCCCAGACUCCUACGGGAGGCAGCAGUGGGGAAUAUUGGGCAAUGGGGGAAACCCUGACCCAGCAACGCCGCGUGAAGGAAGAAGGCCUUCGGGUUGUAAACUUCUUUUACCAGGGACGAAGAACGUGACGGUACCUGGAGAAAAAGCAACGGCUAACUACGUG
RNAcentral lists this ribosomal RNA (467 nucleotides) under uncultured bacterium. RNAcentral's name for it is "bacterial SSU rRNA". It matches the Rfam family "Bacterial small subunit ribosomal RNA", at positions 38 to 507 of the family's 1533-position model. The record is from RNAcentral.